AUGGAGAUGGAGAUGGAGAUGGAAUGUGCUACUCCUAGCUCCAAGAGGGCGAGAGUGGCGCCAUCGGCGCUGCCACCUUCUGGUGGUGUGUUUGUCACCGUAGGGGAGGGAAGCGGCAAGUGUGCUCUUUCUCGAUCCAAGGAUGAAGAAGAGGGGUCUUGUCUGGACCUCAUCAGCGACCUACCGGACGCCGUCCUAGGUGAGAUCAUCUCUCAUCUCCCCCUCAAGGAUGGCAUCCAUACUCAAAUCCUCGCUCGUAGGUGGCGUCCUUUAUGGCUCACCGCUCCUUUGAAUCUCAAAUGUCGCGAGAUCUCUCUUGCCUGUCUUUUUAACUAUGGAGAAACAGUUCAUAUUGCCAUGCUCUUGAAGUUGUCCGCCGUCACCGAGGCCGUCUUCAGAUUUUAUACCGGAACUCGGUGCUCUUGA
RNAcentral lists this ribosomal RNA (426 nucleotides) under Triticum aestivum (bread wheat). RNAcentral describes it as "partial small subunit ribosomal RNA". Lineage: Eukaryota; Viridiplantae; Streptophyta; Magnoliopsida; Poales; Poaceae. The record is from RNAcentral.